This 460-nucleotide ribosomal RNA is filed under the name uncultured bacterium. RNAcentral describes it as "partial 16S ribosomal RNA". It matches the Rfam family "Bacterial small subunit ribosomal RNA", at positions 338 to 795 of the family's 1533-position model. The record is from RNAcentral.
CCUACGGGCGGCUGCAGUGAGGAAUAUUGGUCAAUGGACGAGAGUCUGAACCAGCCAAGUAGCGUGAAGGAUGACUGCCCUAUGGGUUGUAAACUUCUUUUAUAUGGGGAUAAAAUGUUCCACGUGUGGGGUGUUGUAUGUAUCAUAUGAAUAAGGAUCGGCUAACUCCGUGCCAGCAGCCGCGGUAAUACGGAGGAUCCGAGCGUUAUCCGGAUUUAUUGGGUUUAAAGGGUGCGUAGGUGGAUUGUUAAGUCAGUUGUGAAAGUUUGCGGCUCAACCGUAAAAUUGCCGUUGAUACUGGCAGUCUUGAGUAUAAUAGCGGUAGGCGGAAUGUGUGGUGUAGCGGUGAAAUGCUUAGAUAUCAUACAGAACUCCGAUUGCGAAGGCAGCUCACCGAACUGCAACUGACACUGAGGCACGAAAGUGUGGGUAUCAAACAGGAUUAGAUACCCUUGUAGUC